This 503-nucleotide ribosomal RNA is filed under the name uncultured bacterium. Its description in RNAcentral is "partial 16S ribosomal RNA". It matches the Rfam family "Bacterial small subunit ribosomal RNA", at positions 28 to 523 of the family's 1533-position model. The record is from RNAcentral.
GAUGAACGCUAGCGGCAGGCCUAACACAUGCAAGUCGAGGGGUAGCAGGAUUAAGCUUGCUUAAUUGCUGACGACCGGCGCACGGGUGCGUAACGCGUAUGCAACCUACCUUAUACUGGGGUAUAGCCCGGAGAAAUUCGGAUUAAUCCCCCAUAGUACUAAUGAAUCGCAUGGUUUAUUAGUUAAAGCAUUGCGGUAUAAGAUGGGCAUGCGUCCUAUUAGCUAGAUGGUGAGGUAACGGCUCACCAUGGCUACGAUAGGUAGGGGGCCUGAGAGGGUGGUCCCCCACAAUGGUACUGAGACACGGACCAGACUCCUACGGGAGGCAGCAGUGAGGAAUAUUGGUCAAUGGGCGCAAGCCUGAACCAGCCAUGCCGCGUGCAGGAAGAAUGCCCUAUGGGUUGUAAACUGCUUUUAUUUGGGAAUAAACCUCUUUACGUGUAGAGAGCUGAAGGUACCAAAUGAAUAAGCACCGGCUAACUACGUGCCAGCAGCCGCGGUAA